AUUCUGCCAGGAAUCCAGCUGACCGAAUUACCCACACUUGCCCACCUUAGGCCUUCAUUCGCAGCAGGCAUGUGUGCCUGGGUUUGUUACCAGCAGCCAUUUUCUCACCCUUAAAUGAGGGAUGGGUCUCCCCUUUUCUUUUUCUCAUUUUCCUAGAGGUUACAAGAUUCCUGUUUUUCUCACCAGGAGGAGAGGUCAGCCUCAGUGAGCUCAUAGCAGUCAUACAUUGCCAGUGUUUUUCCUCAAGUGGAAGGAGAAAGGCCUUCAGAAAAAAAAUCGUAUGCAAACCUAGUGCUACCACCAGCAGUAGCUCUGAAUCGAGAUUUUUGGGAGAAUUAGGCUUACUAAAGAUAAACUACAAUAAGUCUCAAGGAAGCAAAUAAUUCUGAUUCUAAUGAGGAAUCCAAGAAUAAAGGCAGCUCUUAAGGUACGGAAGUGAACUGUCUGUGGGUGACUUGCCUGGAUGCCGGCUAUAGCUGCAGCCCCCAAAGUCGAAGCUACCAGAACAGGUUGGAUGAGGAUGGCCCAAAGAUUAUGGAGUUGCUGGCCCCAAAGCAAGUCAGACACUAUGGGAAGUUUGCAUGAAUCAUGCCCUUGGAUAGACAACCUAAAUCAUACCUCAUCGAGCAUGGAUCCUGGUCAGCAUACCAAGUCAAGGCAAGUAAAGACUGAAGAAAUAUCACCUGGUCUGCAGCUCCCCCCAGAACGAAGUCUGCUACUGAUGGCAGAAGCAUAGAUAGACCAAGGGUAUCACUAUGUAAUGAUGGAAGAAGGAAAAACCCCAUGCAUUCACUCAUGUCUUGAAUCACCUAGAGAAGAGAGGGAAUCUGCCAAAGUGGACACAAUAGAAAUUCAGUUCUAAAUUUGGAGGAAAUGAGGCCCACUCUCAGAUAAGAUGAAAAGUAAAAGCCCUAGGAUCCAAUGGGGUAUUAAACAAAUAUUUAAAAGUAAAAAAAAAAAAAAA
RNAcentral lists this long non-coding RNA (964 nucleotides) under Homo sapiens (human). Its description in RNAcentral is "RORA antisense RNA 2, transcript variant 2 (RORA-AS2)". Lineage: Eukaryota; Metazoa; Chordata; Mammalia; Primates; Hominidae. The record is from RNAcentral.